RNAcentral lists this unclassified non-coding RNA (354 nucleotides) under soil metagenome. RNAcentral's name for it is "partial contains 5.8S ribosomal RNA, internal transcribed spacer 2, and large subunit ribosomal RNA". The stretch from base 1 to 120 matches the Rfam family "5.8S ribosomal RNA", at positions 35 to 154 of the family's 154-position model. The record is from RNAcentral.
GAUGAAGAACGUAGCGAAAUGCGAUAAGUAAUGUGAAUUGCAGAAUUCAGUGAAUCAUCGAAUCUUUGAACGCACAUUGCGCCCGCCAGUAUUCUGGCGGGCAUGCCUGUUCGAGCGUCAUUUCAACCCUCAGGCCCCCAGUGCCUGGCGUUGGGGAUCGGCGCGGCGCCCUCCGGGGCGCUGCCGGCCCCGAAAUUCAGUGGCGGUCUCGCUGUAGCCCUCCUCCGCGUAGUAGCACAACCUCGCGGCCUGGAGCUCGGCGGUGGCCAUGCCGUAAAACACCCCACUUCUGAAAGUUGACCUCGGGUCAGGUAGGAAUACCCGCUGAACUUAAGCAUAUCAAUAAGCGGAGGA